UACAGAGGCCUCGAGCGUUAGGCGGAAUCACUGGGCUUAAAGCGUGUGUAGGUGGAUGCCUAAGUACCUUGUGAAAUCCCACGGCUUAACCGUGGAACUGCUUGGUAUACUGGGUGUCUUGAGCCACUCAGGGGCUACCGGAACAAAUGGUGGAGCGGUGAGAUGCGUAGAUAUCAUUUGGAACGCCAAUGGUGAAAACAGGUAGCUGGGGGUGUGCUGACACUGAGACACGAAAGCCAGGGGAGCAAACGGG
RNAcentral lists this ribosomal RNA (253 nucleotides) under uncultured bacterium. RNAcentral's name for it is "partial 16S ribosomal RNA". It matches the Rfam family "Bacterial small subunit ribosomal RNA", at positions 524 to 776 of the family's 1533-position model. The record is from RNAcentral.